Panthera pardus (leopard) is the source of this 113-nucleotide ribosomal RNA. The record is from Ensembl. NCBI's taxonomy places the organism in Eukaryota, Metazoa, Chordata, Mammalia, Carnivora, Felidae.
GACAUUUGGUAGAGACUGUUGAAGCCACCGGGUCCCAGCAGACCCCGGAAGGUGGGUAUAGUUGCUGGUGCUGGGGCAAGGUCAUUAAGGGUGAAGCCUAGUGCCAGAUGUGU